UGCCCAACAACCAAUAGGUGACAUCUGGGAAGACUGUGACCCCAUAGUGCUCAGCCUAUGAGGAACUGGGGGAGGGACCUGCACACUAAGGGAUAAAGUGCUUGUUAAAACCAUGCUGGAGGCUGGUGCAGUGGCUCACGCCUGUAAUCCCAGCACUUUAGGAGGCCGACGUGAGGCAGGCGGAUCACUUGGGGUCAGGAGUUUGACACCAGCCUGGCCAACCUGGUAAAACCCCAUCUCUAUUGAAAACACGAAAAUUAGCCAGGCGUGGUGGUGAGUGCCUGUGAUCCCAGCUACUCAGGAGGCUGAGGCAGGAGGAUCACUUGGACUCGGGAGGCAGAGUUACAGUGAGCCGAGAUCCUGCCACCGCACUCCAGCCUGGGCGACAGAGAAAGACCCCAUCUCAAAACAACAGCAACAACAACAAAACCGGGCUGGGCGUGCCUUCCCAUCGGACACCCGACCUCGCAAGACUGUCAUUAAAAGUCUCACUCUCGCUGUUCUCUGGGUUGUGAGUCCAUUCUCUGGGUGUGGACAGGUGAGUUUGUUUCUCACAAGGUCCAGGACUUGAACUCAGGCCAUGAGACCGGGCCAGGGUUGUGAGCAAAAGUGCAGCUCGUUGCGGUGCCUCCCUCGGCACCAGUGGGAGGGGAGAGGACCCUGGGGCUCGUCAGCCUGGACACGCCAGCGCUCUCAGCCGUCUCACUCAGUCCCACGAGCCCACACAGUGGCUGCCCUCAAAGGGACUUUGGAGACCACCCAGUCUUUCUUCCCAGUUUACAGACCCAGAGACUCGGGCCCAGAGAAGACAAGUGACUUUGAACAAAGCAAAUUAGUGGCAAUGCCCAGACUUGAACCGAGAUUGGCAGAGCUUGGUGGUCUGCCACAAACCACCCUCCCCCACAGCAGGUGCGGGUGGGGGGCUCCGUUCUUCCGGUCACCACAGCAUGUUACAGGUUUCUGCAUCAGUGCGCCUCCUCUUAGGAAGAAACAUCUCUGGGCUGGGAUGGCUAGCUCCCCGCUUUCAGCCAUGUAGAAUUUCUCUUGGCAUUUUAGUUAGAAGUGUUGUCUAGAUUUCUUAAGUGUCUGAGGCUGCCCUGGCCACAGGGAUGAGUUAGGGAAAAUUACCGUUUCCCAUGUGCGUGUGUGAAGCUCUCCAUGCUCACUGAAGUCAGAGUGAGAAGCAGCAAACACGUCAUCGGGAGGGUGGCCAGCAAGGCUGUGUCCUUUCACACGUCCUCAGAUCAUCCUUGAAUCCACCCACAUUCCAAAUUCAUUCUCAAAAAUGAGAUUCCAAAUUUCAGGAUCUAUUUACAGCCAGACGAUUUUGGUGCCCCCUGCUCAAAAGCUUUGAUUACUCCUGUGCUUAAUUAAGUCACAAAUCCCUGGCCCAUCAUCCAAGACCACUUGUGAUGUGGUUAAACCUACCUCUGUGAGUGCUAGUAAAUCUACCUCUACUAGUACUAGUAAAUCUACCUCUGCUAGCGCUAGUAAAUUUACCUCUACCAGUACUGCCCCCCACUGUUUCCUUUUCAGGCAUUCAGCUCAGUCUACGGCCCGCAGACAGAUUUCCUAGAAAUAACUGCUCCUACUUCUCAACUCUUAACAAAAAGGUCUCUGAAAAGGAAUUUGGAGGAAACAGACUAUUCCAGUGAAUAGUGUACAAGCCUGGGAGAUGCGGACUUUGGUGUAAAAUGAAGAAGCAGGAGCACCGUUCCUGGAAGACCGUGGCAGGUGUGGUCUGGGCUGCGUGGCCCCGGAGCCUGCUGUCUGAGCCUCUUCUCAUGGAGUGGGGGUGGUUUCUCUGGCACCUACAUGGGUUAAGAGGGAGGACCCCUGGGGCCUUGCGCCCAUCACCCCCUCUCAUCCUCACUGCCUGUGACGGACAGACAAGCAGCUCUCCCAGCUGCAGAGACAAGAUGACCACAGGAGAGCCAGCAGAGGAUGCUGUUACCAGGGAGCUAGGACAGCCAGCACACAGGCAGACGGAGGCACGCAGCCUGAGUCCCAGUCAGCUGGAGGACAUGUGAUUAAAAUGCUGCUGAAUAGGGAAAAAAUCCCGGGCCCAGAAGUUGAGGUCCCUGUGGGUGGGGCCGUGGGGAGGGGGUGCGACCCAGGCCAUGCCCAGGCUUGUGAUUUCUGACCUCGCGCUAGUGCAUUUACGGGUAAACUGAGGCUGGGAGGGAAGCCUCUCUCUGUAUGGGGAGGUGGUCCUCUGUCCGUGUCCGUGGUGAGGGGCUGUGCCCACCCGCUGCCUAGAGAGGAGCACCGGUGCUUUUGUAAAGAGCAGUAUAAAUACACUUCCGUUCAGAUAAAACACAAUAAAUAGGUGGCGGCAAUGGCGGGACGGCACCACACCUGCUCAGGCGGCCGGACGCACACUGCAGGAGUGGCUGGCGAGAGGCCAGCCGCAGGGACAUGAACCGAGGUCCUGUUGUUUGAGGUAAAAAUGUAUAGAAACGGUUCCUUGACAGCGAAAUCCCCGCUUGACACUCAGAUGGGCGAGCACUGGCAGGGGCUCUGGGCCUCUGCCUGCAAGACCAGACCGUCACUGGGGCUGUGGCUCAGAAGGACUCAGAGGUGGAUGGAUGUCCCUGCCCGAACCAGGGCCGCAGAUGGCCCCACCUGCACCCUGCCUGAUGCCCAGGCCCGGGAUGCCCUAGGCUGGGCCCACCUGGACGUCCAGGGUCAGUUGGGGGAGGUGCUGGGGUCCCGCCCCACCUGGCCACCCCAGUUGCUGCCGGGCAGCCGCGGCCUCAGCGUGUCCUCAGCCGCAGGACCCUGGAGAGGGGCUCCUUGGCGCUGGAGUAGAUGAGGUAGGCACCAGCCGUGGUGCUGAAGGCCUCCCAGUCCCUGCAGCCGACGGUGGGGAGGCUGUGCACCGCCACGAAGCCCUCGUAGCCCUGCCACCUGCGGAACAGACAGCGGCAGCCGGGUCAGCCUGGGCUCUGCGGGGCAGCUCCUCUCCCCCGGCUCCCACCCGCGCUGUCAGGGACCCAGCAGCUCUGGGUCACAUCUGAGCCUCUUCCAUCCCCCCGACUGGCACAGCGUGGGGAGAUCGAUUCUGGGCCAUGAGGGCCUUCUCAUCUUGCAAAGCAGGAGGCUGAGGCCCAGAAGAGGAAAGAUUCCAGAUCUCACCAAGAUCCCAGCGCUACCUCCUAUCCACCCAAGAUCCUAACCCCGGGGACCCCCAAACGUGCAGUUCCGAGGGUCGGCCUCAAUCGUGAGGUGCGUGACUUUCCCCAGGGCCCCCCUCAAACACACGCAGGCCACCACGCAGGCUGGAACCCCUCCGUCCUCAGAUACAGGAGCCCAGCUCUCUGCCCGCUGCUCUGCGGCCCCACGUCAGGGGCUGCCCCAGGCCCUCAUUCUUGCUCUGGGCGGCUGCUGGCCGCCAGGGUUUGCCUUCAAAAGGACUCAUUUAUCCCAGGAGCUUCCAUUUCCGAGGCGUGGAGUCCCCAAGGCAGGGCGCCGACAUCAAAG
RNAcentral lists this long non-coding RNA (3483 nucleotides) under Homo sapiens (human). RNAcentral describes it as "long non-coding RNA NONHSAT082599.2". Lineage: Eukaryota; Metazoa; Chordata; Mammalia; Primates; Hominidae. The record is from RNAcentral.